Mastomys coucha (southern multimammate mouse) is the source of this 293-nucleotide long non-coding RNA. RefSeq lists it as uncharacterized. The transcript has 3 exons. Lineage: Eukaryota; Metazoa; Chordata; Mammalia; Rodentia; Muridae. The record is from RefSeq and is a predicted model, not a curated record.
CUCACGGCUCUAUUUUGGGGUUCCAUGAUCUCAUGCCCUCGCAAGACCACACAGCGAUUCCAGUCUAGCCCUUGCUGGGCUACCCGGGGCGAUUCCUGCAAGGGUUUUGUCAGUAUGUGUGCUAACAACUAUUCUUGGUUGUAUAUUUGGGUUGAAACCAAGCUGUGCCAAAGAAGUAAAAAGUUGCAAAGGCCGCUGCUUUGAAAGGACAUUCAGCAACUGUCGCUGUGAUGCUGCCUGUGUCAGCCUUGGGAACUGCUGUCUGGAUUUCCAGGAGACCUGUGUGGAACCAA